GAUGAACGCUAGCUACAGGCUUAACACAUGCAAGUCGAGGGACCGGCGCACGGGUGAGUAACACGUAUCCAACCUGCCCUUUACUCGGGGCUAGCCUUUCGACAGAAAGAUUAAUACCCGAUCUAAAGGAUGGGGAUGCGUUCCAUUAGGUUGUUGUGGAGGUAACGGCGCACCAAGCCUUCGAUGGAUCGGGGUUCUGAGAGGAAGGUCACCCACAUUGGAACUGGGACACGGGCCAAACUACUACGGGAGGAAGCAGUGAGGAAUAUUGGGGAAGAGGCGCUAGACUGAAACAGCCAAGUAGCGUGAAGGAUGAAGGAUUAUGGGUCGUAAACUUCUUUUAUAUAAGAAUAUGUAUUAUAGGAAUAAGGAUAGGCGAAAUCCGUUCCAGCAGCCGCGGUAAUU
Molecule: ribosomal RNA, 405 nt
Filed under: uncultured bacterium
Lineage: Bacteria
Description: partial 16S ribosomal RNA
Rfam family: Bacterial small subunit ribosomal RNA
Source: RNAcentral